Molecule: ribosomal RNA, 497 nt
Filed under: uncultured bacterium
Lineage: Bacteria
Description: partial 16S ribosomal RNA
Rfam family: Bacterial small subunit ribosomal RNA
Source: RNAcentral
GAUGAACGCUGGCGGCGUGCCUAAUACAUGCAAGUCGAGCGAACGGACGAGAAGCUUGCUUCUCUGAUGUUAGCGGCGGACGGGUGAGUAACACGUGGAUAACCUACCUCUAAGACUGGGAUAACUUCGGGAAACCGGAGCUAAUACCGGAUAAUAUUUUGAACCGCAUGGUUCAAAAGUGAAAGACGGUCUUGCUGUCACUUAUAGAUGGAUCCGCGCUGCAUAAGCUAGUUGGUAAGGUAACGGCUUACCAAGGCAACGAUGCAUAGCCGACCUGAGAGGGUGAUCGGCCACACUGGAACUGAGACACGGUCCAGACUCCUACGGGAGGCAGCAGUAGGGAAUCUUCCGCAAUGGGCGAAAGCCUGACGGAGCAACGCCGCGUGAGUGAUGAAGGUCUUCGGAUCGUAAAACUCUGUUAUUAGGGAAGAACAUAUGUGUAAGUAACUGUGCACAUCUUGACGGUACCUAAUCAGAAAGCCACGGCUAACUACGUG